RNAcentral lists this ribosomal RNA (465 nucleotides) under uncultured bacterium. RNAcentral describes it as "partial 16S ribosomal RNA". It matches the Rfam family "Bacterial small subunit ribosomal RNA", at positions 28 to 507 of the family's 1533-position model. The record is from RNAcentral.
GACGAACGCUGGCGGCGUGCUUAACACAUGCAAGUCGAACGGAAAGGCCCUGCUUGCCGGGUACUCGAGUGGCGAACGGGUAAGUAACACGUGGGUGAUCUGCCCUGCACUUCGGGAUAAGCCUGGGAAACUGGGUCUAAUACCGGAUAGGAGCCAUUUUUAGUGUGAUGGUUGGAAAGUUUUUUCGGUGUAGGAUGAGCUCGCGGCCUAUCAGCUUGUUGGUGGGGUAAUGGCCUACCAAGGCGGCGACGGGUAGCCGGCCUGAGAGGGUGGACGGCCACAUUGGGACUGAGAUACGGCCCAGACUCCUACGGGAGGCAGCAGUGGGGAAUAUUGCACAAUGGGCGCAAGCCUGAUGCAGCGACGCCGCGUGGGGGAUGACGGCCUUCGGGUUGUAAACUCCUUUCGCUAGGGACGAAGCUUUUUGUGACGGUACCUAGAGAAGAAGCACCGGCUAACUACGUG